GACGAACGCUGGCGGCGCGCCUAACACAUGCAAGUCGAACGAGAGAUGAGGAGCUUGCUCUUCAAAUCGAGUGGCGAACGGGUGAGUAACGCGUGAGGAACCUGCCUCAAAGAGGGGGACAACAGUUGGAAACGACUGCUAAUACCGCAUAAGCCCACGGCUCGGCAUCGAGCAGGGGGAAAAGGAGCAAUCCGCUUUGAGAUGGCCUCGCGUCCGAUUAGCUAGUUGGUGAGGUAACGGCCCACCAAGGCGACGAUCGGUAGCCGGACUGAGAGGUUGAACGGCCACAUUGGGACUGAGACACGGCCCAGACUCCUACGGGAGGCAGCAGUGGGGAAUAUUGCACAAUGGGGGAAACCCUGAUGCAGCGACGCCGCGUGGAGGAAGAAGGUCUUCGGAUUGUAAACUCCUGUUGUUGAGGAAGAUAAUGACGGUACUCAACAAGGAAGUGACGGCUAACUACGUGCCAGCAGCCGCGGUAAAACGUAGGUCACAAGCGUUGUCCGGAAUUACUGGGUGUAAAGGGAGCGCAGGCGGGAGAACAAGUUGGAAGUGAAAUCCAUGGGCUCAACCCAUGAACUGCUUUCAAAACUGUUUUUCUUGAGUAGUGCAGAGGUAGGCGGAAUUCCCGGUGUAGCGGUGGAAUGCGUAGAUAUCGGGAGGAACACCAGUGGCGAAGGCGGCCUACUGGGCACCAACUGACGCUGAGGCUCGAAAGUGUGGGUAGCAAACAGGAUUAGAUACCCUGGUAGUCCACACCGUAAACGC
RNAcentral lists this ribosomal RNA (768 nucleotides) under uncultured bacterium. Its description in RNAcentral is "bacterial SSU rRNA". It matches the Rfam family "Bacterial small subunit ribosomal RNA", at positions 28 to 809 of the family's 1533-position model. The record is from RNAcentral.